RNAcentral lists this ribosomal RNA (108 nucleotides) under Acanthosepion pharaonis. The record is from RNAcentral. Lineage: Eukaryota; Metazoa; Mollusca; Cephalopoda; Sepiida; Sepiidae.
GGCCAUAUCACGUUGAAACACCAGUUCUCGUACAAUCACUGAAGUUAAGCAACGUCGAGCCAGGUCAAUAACUAGAUGGGUGACUGCUUGGGAAUACCAAGUGCUUCA